GGGGGGAGGGGGGCGGUGCUGGCUUGGUCCUUGUUUUCUUAUGUCUCCUUUGAAGGUAAAAACUAACCAAUUUUUUUCUGGCCUUCAAGCUGUGAGAGGUUAAAAAAAACCUGUCUGUAAAAAUAAACAAAUAAGACCUGCAAUCUCCCUUCAAAAGGUGGCGGGAAAAAAUACUCCACCUAAAGCCCAUAAAUAUUUCCUGAUGAUUGUUCCCUCAAUUAGUAACUAUCCAUCUGCUAUGAGACUGGAGAGGGCAGGUGGGGGGACGGUGGGGGGAGGGGAGAAGAGGCGCUCAGGAGCUUAGCACCUGGAUGAGCAGAACAAAGAAGAGUCCCUAAGAAGGUAAGAGAACUCAGAGUUGCCUAUGCGAUACUCAGUUUCAAGUCCAGAAAAACCACCGGCUUGUCUAAGUGGAGGAGUGUCCAAGGUGGCAGAGAGGAUGGGGGAGCUGAUACCCAGAAAGGACCACAAGCAGCCGGGGAGCCGGGUCCUGCCUGCACAGGAUACGAGGGAUGGUCACAGGGAGCUGGGGACACCGGGCCGGGGCAGCAGCGGGUGUGGGCUUGGGGCGUGCACGAGAUGAUGAGGUCAGAGUUUUAAGGAAACCUGUUUGAACACGGCAUGGGACCGCAGGGGAGGGAGACCAGACUGGAAAUGGGAACAAAGGGAACAGAGAGGGAAAGAUAAACCUGAAUGCCUUUCAAAGAAGUGCAGAGACCUGUAAGCUGGCUGGAUCACACUGCCGAGCAGAGGGAGCUGAGCAGGAAGUCACUCUGGCCACAGGCUCAAACUUCCUGGAAGAAGUUUUCAACUGUUAAAGGGGUUGGGCUCAAUUAUUUUUUAGACACUUGGCAAGUGAAGAAAUGGAGUGGGUGAGAAGGGAGGGUCUUGGUACCAGAGUGAGAAAUCAGGGCUCAGAUUCAGAGAUGAGAAGGUACAGGAUGGGGCAUGAAGAACAGCCAUUCUGAGCCACGGAUGUGGAACAGAACCAGGGCUGGGAGGAACGAGGUCCCCAGUAGGGAGAACGAGUGUGGAAACGUCGGCAACGACAGGGUGUGGAACCCUCCCGAGGAGAGAGAUCAGGGGAGCUGAAGGAGGCGCAGAGGUGGAGGGGCCUAACCUCGAGCAGGCACGAAGCGGCACUCGGACACCCUGCGGAUUAGUAAUCUCAAGAACACAGGCAGCGGCCGUAUGCUGCGAGGAGGAGGAAGAGAAAAGGGGAACUGGUAGCUUCAGGAGCCAGGACCCCAGAGAGGGGGCGAGAGGGGGUGAACGGGGCUGGGGGGGCUCUUAGCUUAGGUCUUUACAACCACGUGACCGCGAGAAUGGGCCCAGGAGAGGGGCCGGGGACCCUCCGGAGCCCGCUCCUCCUCCUCAGAUGCCUGAUUCACACAAGUAGCUGCUCCCCUCACCGGUAAACAAGUGUAUGCCAUCUACAAACAGCAAGGGCGCCAGGUCUGCGAAGGGAGAGAGAAACCUCCAAACGCCCAACCCACUCCAAAUGGCUUUGAUGGUGUUUUUUUUCCACCAGGGCUGAACUCUGCAACUCUCACCCAGAUGCGCCUCGGUGUGGAAUGCAGCCGGGAACCGCUGGGGACCAGGGAGUCAGCCAUUCCUGAGAGGCACGCGGCCCACCCUGAGCAUGGGCACCGUGUCCUGAGGUCAGCCGGUCCCAGCAGAUCUGCAUGCAGGGCCCGGUGAUUCAAUUAGCGUGACUUCAGUUGUUCUUUUUCAGGUCAGUUUUCUCUUCUUUUGUUUAGACCUGACUCAAGAUUAACUUCAAUUACCUACACGUCUGCUAGAGCACCUCAACAAAUUAAAACUGCUGAAAGUGAUGAAGGAGAGGAAGGACCUGGGUCUCUGGAGAAACAAAUGGUCUCCUCCCUCCCCCACCAUCAUCUCUGUUCUCUUAAAUUACUCAACUAAACAAGCAACUGUUUCUCACAGGAAAACUCGAGACUCUGAGUCUGAAUGUGAAAACCCCGUGGUUAAGCCCUGGCUUGCAGAAAACUAAAAACUUCAGUGACUCUGGAAUGAGAUGUUAUGUUCAGAGCUAUACGAAGCGCUGCAGCUGUUCUCAGCCAACAUGGAAACCGAAAAGGGUGAUGCUAUCUUUAUCCUCUACCUACGGCCAAAGCUGAUCCCAUCCUGGGCAGGAGUCAGCUCAGUUCUAGGCUGCUGAGCCCAAGAGACAAGAAGGGAAAGGAAAGCAGGGGCUGGCAGGGCACACCUCAGCAACAACACACAACAGACCCACCGGGAAGAAAGAACAUGCAGUUAAUCAUUAAAAAUUUGAAAAGGAUGCAAGGAAAUGGAACCGCCUGAAAAGCUGUUUCUAAACGCCAUUUGGAAAACCUGUGUCAAUCGGGUCAAAAUUCAAAAGACUGGAUCGCAUCUGACUUGACCUGAAUUUCCCAAGUGGAAAGAGAACCCUUUUAUCCAUUUUCUUGGAAGAAAAAAAAACAUACUUCCCUAUGCAAACUCAGACAGCGUCUUCAGACCACCUCAUGGAGUCAGGCCCUAGAUGAGCAUCUCAGAGAGGGCAGAUGAUGAGGGAAAAUGAGCCCAAUCAGGAGGGAAGGUGCUGGGAACGGGGAUUCAUCCCAGCCCGGAGCUGGCACACAGGCUGACUGAAGAGCACGUUCCCCGGUGCAACGGCACCGCCUCACUCUGAGCAAACGUCUCCCCCGCCACUCCUGGCCGUGCACCCCCAGCCCCAGCCGGCCUGUCGGCAAUGCAACCACCAACGAAUGGAACUGUGGCGAGGGGCUUGGCGCGGUGUGAUCUGUCACUGACACACCACGCUUCCUGCUCAUGCCGCCGGCCCAUCUUCAUUCAAGAGACAGCAACAAAACGGCCGUGGGGUGGCCAGCAAGCAGGACGGCACAGGGGCUGGCGAAGGAGCGGACUUGGGAGCCACGCUGCCCAGGUUCAAAUCUGGCCUCUUCCCCUUGCCUGCUGUGGCGGAACCACCCUCAGCUGCAGAACCUCUAUCGGCCUUGGUUUUCUUAAGACGACAGUAACGCCUAUUUCACGUGGCGGCUGCGAGACCGAGGAGUUACCCGGGAAAGUGCUUAAACAGAGUCUGAAGACUUCCCUGGUGGUUCAGUGGUUAAAAGACUCUGUGCUCCCAAUGCAUGGGGCAUGGGUUCAAUCCCUGGUCAGGGAACUAAGAUCCUGCAUGCUGCACCGUGUGGCCAAAAAAAUAAAAGAAUACACACAGUCUUGGGGAGAAAGCAUCAAUUCCCCCAUGCGCAUCAGGACUUCAGAGCUGAUCUGCUAACUAGCAGCCCAACAGGCCCUGAAGACAUUCCGUUCACCCAGGGCCGUGCUUCUCAAACGUUAACACGCUUCCAGAAAGCUCACUGAAACAGAUCUGGGCCCCACCUCUGGUUUCUCACUGGAAGGUCUGGGGUAGGGCCUAACCAUCUGUGUUUCCAACAAGCUCCCAGGUGAUGCUGCCGCUCUGAGCCUCACACUUUGAGGACCACGGCUCUGUGGACCACUUGACUCCUUGUGUUCUAUGCUUCAGGCCUAAGCCUUGGUUUGUCUAUCUGCGCAGGGAGCCUGGAUGAGACAACCCAAGGAGAAGGGCAACGUGGCUCACUGCACGGAGAAGGCCCGAGGGUCCCUCCACACCGCCCAGCACCCUGCGCCUCCACACCCUGCAGGUGGUAGGUUCUGGCCAAGGGGCUGCGAGCAAAGACAACACACACCACUUCCAGUCUGAAGCUUUAAAGCGCCUGCUGGCCUGCCGGCUCUCUCCUUACAGUGGCGGCCUGGGGGCAUGCGCAGAGCUGGGGGGUGGGGGGUGCAGGACCCUGGGUCACUGCCUGGAAAGGAGGUACUCGAGAGAGCUGCCGGCCUGCAACAGACUUCACAUGAAAAGCAAUGCCAUCCUAUGUGCUGUGCCACUGGGGUUUUAAUAUUUGUUUGAUCGCUUUAGCUUAAGCCCACUGAAACAAUUCCUAUCACCAGUAUAAAAAGGACCUUUACGCCAGCCGUAAGUCCAUUCUAUCAAACACAGAUGUAAUGUAUCUUGUAACAAAACUGAUUAGCUAGGAUUUCUACUCUCAUUCACUUAUUCAAAUGAGUUUCUUUUUUUUUUCUCCAACAUUCCAUUUUGGGGUCUGUUUUUCACCAGAUAUAAAACUUCUUCACUGCAGCAUGAUUGUGUAACAGUUACCAACAAUUUUGAACAAUCUAAAUAUACUAAGAAGCACUGAAGAUGUGAAAAAUAAAUACAGUGAAGAACAUGAAACUGUGUGUAUGUGUGCGUGCGCGCACACACACACACACACACACACACACACACACCAACCAGAAUCCCUGGACUCUAAAAGGCAGGUCAGAAGAAAAGGGUUUUAAUUUUACUUAUUAAAUCAUGAGCAAACUGAUAUCAUAUUUUGCCCAAACAGGAAAAGGUAAUCUCUUUAAGGUAAAAGCAUCACCACUGAACCACAAAACUGCUCCUUAAAAUAAUAAUAAUAAUUUCUAGUUAACCUAGAAAAAUUUGCCCAUCCAGGUUGAGCCGUCCACAGUAUACCACCUUCCAUUUUAUGUGGAAAAAACAAUAAAUCCCCACCUCCAAGAACCACACAGCCAAAACAAAAUGUAAUCUACAACAACCCAUCAACUAAAACUAGAAAAUUUAUGAAAUACACAAAAUUGAAAGAACUGGGGAAAGAGAAUUUUUAAAUACGCGCUAGAACCACAUACAGGUCCUUCUGGUCUGUGAAGCAAACAGCACUUCUCUGGAGGGCUCUCUGCGGAGGACUUAGCUAAGUGGGAUCUAUGACGCACCUCAGAGGUGGGGGGCUUUCUUGCUGGAAUUCUCCCUAGCAGGAGGAAAAGCCCCUUGAACACACAGAAACAUUUUAAAACUCAGCUCCUCGGGGGCUGGGGGGUGCUCUGCUUCCCCGUGAGCACCGGCAGAGCUGAGCUGAGGAUGAAGAGCCCUGCUGCCCUGGCCUUCUCAAGUUCCUAGGCCCUUGAGCGCCUCAUGCUCUGGGUGUGUCACGUUCCACCUCUUGAGGUACUUCCACGUGGCCAAAAAGGAAAAAAAAAAAGGUAAACACUCGUACAAUGCAUUUGCUCACCUAUUAUAACUCAGC
Long non-coding RNA from Bos taurus (domestic cattle), 5114 nucleotides. The record is from Ensembl. NCBI's taxonomy places the organism in Eukaryota, Metazoa, Chordata, Mammalia, Artiodactyla, Bovidae.